AAUGACCUAAAACACAUCGUCAGAGCCUGUUAAUAAUAUAGAAAGGUAAAACUGGUAAAACGUCGACAAGAGUGCCCAACAGCACAACAACAGAUUUAAACAGUGACCGCGGCGGUGAACUCACAUGGCGAGCAAGUACGAGUUCGUGCAUCGUUCCAAAGUAAAAUUUGAAAUAUAUUCGAGGGUAAAGAAGGAAGGAGAAAGAAGAGAGUAGACGCGAGAGUAUUAUAGGCGUACGGGCGAUGUUCCGUUGACGCGAGAGCGCUCCAUUCGUAGCCCUCUGGCGGAUAUCUGCCGCAGUAAAAUUCGUGCCAGGGGAUAAGCUGUCCCGUUACAUCAACGACGAGCUUGUUCGAUAUCGAGGUUCAACUGACAUUGAAUUGAAUAGCACGCCCUGAAAAUACUGAUAUCACAUCAAUGUUGGUUUAUACGCGUCAACGAGAACGAUGGGAGAGAGGAAAUGAAAGAAAGGAGCCCCAACAACGUCUUUCAGACUCGCGUGAGCGCGUAUACGGGGACACUCGAGAAAACAAAUAAAAAAGAUUACUAUUACGGAGCGUCACGAAAUAAGCAGAGAGUGUACGGCGGCGAUUUAAUCAUGGAGUUUUUUUAUCCACCGCUCAAAACAAAAAAUUAAGUUUUCACUUCCGAA
This is a long non-coding RNA of Venturia canescens, 652 nucleotides long. RefSeq lists it as uncharacterized. NCBI's taxonomy places the organism in Eukaryota, Metazoa, Arthropoda, Insecta, Hymenoptera, Ichneumonidae. The transcript has 2 exons. The record is from RefSeq and is a predicted model, not a curated record.